UACGUAGGGGGCAAGCGUUGUCCGGAAUCAUUGGGCGUAAAGCGCGCGUAGGUGGCUUCGUAAGUCCGUUGUGAAAGUCAAAGGCUCAACCUUUGAAAGCCGAUGGAUACUGUGAAGCUAGAGUACGGAAGAGGCGAGUGGAAUUCCUGGUGUAGCGGUGGAAUGCGCAGAUAUCAGGAAGAACACCCGUGGCGAAGGCGGCUCUCUGGGACGGUACUGACGCUGAGACGCGAAAGCGUGGGGAGCGAACAGG
RNAcentral lists this ribosomal RNA (253 nucleotides) under uncultured bacterium. RNAcentral's name for it is "partial 16S ribosomal RNA". It matches the Rfam family "Bacterial small subunit ribosomal RNA", at positions 524 to 776 of the family's 1533-position model. The record is from RNAcentral.